UCGUUCUUUCGUAUAUUUGAC
Molecule: non-coding RNA, 21 nt
Filed under: Caenorhabditis elegans
Lineage: Eukaryota; Metazoa; Nematoda; Chromadorea; Rhabditida; Rhabditidae
Source: RNAcentral